Camellia sinensis is the source of this 2499-nucleotide non-coding RNA. NCBI's taxonomy places the organism in Eukaryota, Viridiplantae, Streptophyta, Magnoliopsida, Ericales, Theaceae. The record is from RefSeq and is a predicted model, not a curated record.
UAAUAUAUUGGCGCCUUAUAGAAUUUUUCAUCUUCUCACAUAGAUACAUCGAUGGAUUCUGCUUCUCACAUAGAAAUUCGACUACCAAACCUCAUCCUACAUCACCUCACCUCAGCGUAGACCACCAACGCCGCUCGCCACCGCAACCGUUGCUCACCACAGCUAUCGUCUCAUUCUCACAGGUACUCUCUCACUCUCAGUCUGUCACUCUCUUACUCGCGGUCUGUCUUUCUCUCUGCUUCUCGCUCUGUCUACCUUGAUCACUCUUUCUCCCUCUCUAUCCCCCUUUCUCUAUUUCCCCCUUUCUGAAUCUUGCUCUAGGGUUGUUAUGAUUUGUUCAAUUUAAUUUGGCGUUGAUUGCAAAAAAUGGGUUUGGUUGAAGUGGUCUAUUUUUCCCUUUUUGAAUCUAUUGUUUCCCUCUUUAUAUUUAAUGUUUUUUUAUCAUCACUUUCUACAUCUAGCUUUGAUAUAUAAUGCUUGUGUUUGUUAUUGAAUUAGAUUCUAGCUGUAAUAAUUUUUUUGCUCUUUAGAAAUUGUUAUUUCACGAGUGAAGUAGACAUCAUCUUCAUUCCUUAUUGAAGCAGAUUUUUGCAGACAUUUUUUCUUAUGUAGUAAUUUUGACUACUCAAUUCUAUAGAGAGCUUAAGUGGUUAUUUGCAAAUCCUUGUGGUUGCAUAUAAAUAUACAUGUAUUGCUGUCAAUUGGUUUUCUUUCCUAUAUUUCAUUUGUGAAAUGCUGAAGAUUGCAAAAAGAUAUGCAUGUUUGGGUUGGUUGAAAAUUAUUUCCUGUGUCAAAAUGACUACUGGAUGGAGGAAUUGGGCUUCCGGCUUCCUCAAAGAAAAGGUCAGUUGACUCAACUUGAUGACAAAGUCAUUUGCAGCGUGUCAAUUGGUGUCAUUUUUUCAAAUUUUGUGAGUUUCUCCUCUAUUUUGCAGUAUAUCUAAUAGGUUUGUACAGUUAUGGAGAACUGUAGAUAAAAAGAAUGAUUGUUACUGUUUUGAUCUUUAAAUUUCAAUUGCUCAGUACAUGAAUGUGAUACAAUUGGUAAUUUUCUUCUUUAGGUAGUACCAGUUGUACACAAGUAUUAUAAUUAGUUCUAUGAUUUAACUGAUACAUUAUAUGAUUUUAGUUUAUGAGCUUAUUUCAAAUCAUAUAUUAUGCAUGAAUAGUGCAGAAUUUGAGGUGAAAGAUUUUUAUUUAUGUUGCAUCUUUGAGUUACUUUACCACAGGUCUAUGUUUGAGAACAUGCCCACCAAUUGUUUGGUUAAAUUUCUCAAUGCCUAUUAUCAUGUCAAACUAUCCUAUUAAAUAGCAUUGGGUCAACACUCUUGGGGGCAUAAACGAAAAGCUACUAUCAAAGAUAAAUGUGGAAACAAAAGAGCUUAUAAAAUGGAUGUUGAAGAAGAGGAUGAGGAGACAGAUGAUGAUGAGAAGGAGGAGGAGGAGGACAAACUUGAAGCAAAAGCUUUAAGAAAGAAAACAGAAAACGAAAAAAGGGAAAAAAACCACUAUUAUAUGUAUUUGUGGUUGUAAUUCAUUUGAUUAGUAACUUACAAAUUUCAUGUUUAUUAUUGAACAUCACUUUGAGCCAUCAGAAGUUGGUAUGCUAGCUAGGUGCUUGUGCGUUCCGCUUGUUUCAAUUCGUGUUGGGAAGAUCAACAAGCAAGGAACUCUCUUGUGCUCAACUGGUACAAGGUGGUCUCUCAGGUGGUCUAAUCCACUCUUCCAAUUCCAAGAAGCAUAAUGAGAUUUGAACAAGAUUAUCGGUGCAAGUAACAAGAAAAGGACAACUCAAAUGCUGCUCAAAGAGGAAAACUAUAACUAUAAUAACAAUGAGGUAAAGAUGCCUAAUGUGAGACCUGGUGAACGGCUGAAAGAUCUUGGUGUUUAUGAAGUGAUCACCUUGACUGAGCCAUAUGAGACUUUGGUUCCAACAUCUCUAUAUCAAGUGAGUUUUUGUUUUUGUUUUUGUUUUUGUUUUUUAACUUGUGCAUUUGUUUACAGCUUGGCAUGCUUUGUUAUCUAAAGUGCAUCUAUUUAUUUUACUAAGUGCACUAAUUAAAGGUUGCUUCUGAAGUGUAUUCAUUCCCAAACUUAUUUGAGAAAGUAAUUCUUUUUGGCCUUUCACUCCAUCUGGAAUCUUGAUGGGUAUUUCUGAUUUGUUGGAAUGUUAGCUUUACCAAAUAAGUCUAAGGGAGAUAAUUUUUAUUUAUUUUUUUAUUUCUUUGAUUGGUGGUCCGACAUAUGAAUGUUAUUGAGAUGCAUAAACUAUUUUACGUGGGGGUUCGAACGCGGUUACCAGACGGAUGAUUAAACAUCACAAACACUGAAAUAUGCACGUGGGUACCAAUUUGAAAACUACUUUAAAAUUUGCACUAUUCCAACAUGUAGGCAUGAAACUAAGUUGAAAAAUGCACUUUUCUCACACAGAAGCUUGAAAAUAGGCCAUAUGGGGGCAAAAUCGUGUAACAGUCACGAGAAGGCCUGAGGAACACCUCA